CCGCUUCCCUCAGGCGCGGCGGCCAUUUUGGGUGGCGGGUGCGGGCCGGGGCGGGGAGCGGCGGCGGCGGGGCCGGGCCUGACCGUCCUCGCUCCCUCCGCCGCGGCGGCCGCUGCGCUUAUCCAGCUGAAAGUCAACAACGGGAUCUUCCUUCGUCCCGCUCGACUUCGUAGUCACUGACCCCAAGGGGCGUCCCGGCGCCUGCUGCCUCAGGAACACCACCCCACGCCCCCUCCGCGGGAGGCACUGCAACUUGCCGCCCGUUUAUAAACAAAACAAAAAAAACCCGUUUUUACAAAACUGUCCCAAAGGCGGCCGCGGGUCGGGCCCGUAGACUUUGGCGCUAAAGUGGCUGAUUUUGGAAAGAGGAAGAAGUAGUGCGCAGGAAACGGCAGCAGGUACUUUGGCAGCCUCCUGAGAGACAUGGAGAGCACAAGGGAACUGGCCAGGGCAUUCCCCUGCCUGCUGAAGAUGACGGUUGCAGCUCCUGCUCUAACACUGGCUCAUGAAGGGGUAGGUCAGUCUGCUUCCAUUUCUCUGUCUGCACCAAGAAAUCCCACUGAAAAGUGCUGUAUUAACAAUGGAAGAUUUUCUUUGCUGUUUCCUCAGUCUGAUAUUUUUCAGUAUCUUUAGAGGGUAAAAGUCUGUAUCACUAAUGGUAAAGAAAAGAAAGAUGAACCUUCAGUUUAAAAUGAAAAUGUUAUUAACUCACCAGCUCUUUUAAUCCUCUUCCUCUCCUUCAGUUGGUAGGGUUUGUGAUCGUGGGACAAGGGGAUAGCGUUCCCGUCCUUGUCGCACAAGACUCCUCGUGAAUCACCAACGUUGGCCACCGUGAGUUCUUUAUCUGACAACAAUGCAAUCAAACAAGUCGUACCUGGGGGAAAAGGGAAAGCAAAGAAAAAGCAUGUAUUCAGGAUGACCAGCAGUCACACUGCAAGUUUCCUCCAGUUGUCGUCUGUGGCCGUAAGGAUCAACAGCUGUACUUACACCUGAUGGAAACAUCUUGUACUCUGAUCAGUGCCAUGAAAUAGAUUGUCAUCUAAUCUGACAGUUUUCUCCUAAAGUUAUUCAAGUCUAUCAGAUUUUAACUCUCAUAGAUUGGGAUUGCAGAGUCAUUCACCAUUCACAGUAUCUCACAUAGUUGUUAUUUGGCCAAAUUUUUGCAGUGAGGCCAUAGCAGAACCUGCCUUGAUGGGGACUUCUCACAGCACUCGCUCCGCAUUGCUCUUGCACAGAGUGGCAGGUGGACGAGUGAUGUGCAAAGCUGAAAACCUCAAACUUCUUGGUCUUCUGCUCAGGUAGGAAAAAAGUGACUAGCAGGAAAAUGUUCUUUACAUUAAGAACAGCAGAGAGGGGCUGAAGUGACAGGAGUAUAUUCUCAGUCUCCACCUGGUAGCUGUCUUUUCCUGAUGGUCAAGGAAAGUAGUAAGAGACAAGUACACAGUGGCACCAGAGCCCACCAGCAGUUUCCAUGAGCACAAACUACUGCAUUUGAAACGAACAUGAGUGAAACGAGUCUUCUCUCUCCUCAUCCCUUCAAGAGCUGUUGCCGAGAUGUACGUGCUGGGCCAACCCGCCAGGCCUCGAUGAAGGCAGGCUGCGCAGCCUUGGCACGGUCACAGGCUACAACUUCAAAUGGCACCUGUGCUGCUGAGAACUGCUCUGUACGGUGUGUACGUUGCACCAUAUACUCCGUAACGAGAGAGAAGCAAAAUGCCUGAAACUACUGUUGGUAAGGAAGGCUAUACAUCCAAAGGACAUGGUGUGUUUUACUGAAAAAAAAGAAAAAGCUUUUACAUUGUAAUUACUUUAAUCUUUACUUACACAGAAAAAUUAAUCAGUCAUUGACCAUGGUAUCCAAGAGGCAUGAUAUCUGUUGGCUGAAGUGGCAGGAAAAAUUGGCUGCUUUUAAAGUACUAACCCUACAUUUUUUAUUCUCCUUAUUUAAUUGAUGCAGAGUAGAAUGAACUUUGAGCAAAACAGACCCCAUUAAGAACAUACCUUUUGUACGUUUUCUCCUUCUAGUCAGUAUAACACAAGCUGUAUUCAUAAACACCCUAGCUAUUAAAAUAUAUUCCUUUCAGGAAUGUUAGACCAGAUGUCACAAUUUCAUUAACUUUUUAGAACAGAAAGUUGCCAAAUACGUUUUUGGAUAUACACUAACAAACAUUAAAAGGGAACACUCCUGACAGCUUAGAUUACAGAGCGGUACUAAAACUCAUUUAUUUUCACAUUAUCACAAAUCAUAUUCUAAUAUCUUCCAACAGUAAAUAAAAUUAAUUUCAUGGUUGCUUUCUUUUCCUUUUACAUAAACCAGAAAAAGUGCAUGGUGAAUUUUCAUCUCUGUUGUUAAUUUACAUCUGAUUAUUCAUAAAAACAAGGCAUCUACCCUUCUCAUAUAAAGGAGAUUGACAGGGAGAAACAGCACCAGCUGGGCAGGAGAUGGUGAGAGGCAGUACCAAAAAGCUUUCAGGAACUGUCUGACAUGUACUUGCUCAUUUACGGGCAUGAGGACAGGGAAGGUGGUGCAAACAAAUUGGCCACUGCCAACUGCCGACGUGCACGAGGCCCCGGGGACGCGGCGAGCAGGGAAGGAGCGCCCACGGACAGGGCGCCCGAGGCGAGGCGCUUGGUGCAUCUCCCCGAUCACGGCCAGAAGUUCCCACUUCACGUCACGGGGAGGACGGAGCUGCCAGCCUGCCUGACAAUGGGCCCAAGUGAUCAAUCCUCAACCAACAGGGGUGUUUUAAAGCAAAAUGUCUCUGCUUGUACUUUUGAAUCAGGCAAGGAAGCAGUUUUAAUGAAAAAGCCAAUAACGGAGCAUUCCAGCACAUCCUACCACCACCAGCAGCUUCUGACCUCCGUGGAUUUGCUCCUGGAGAGCUAAAUUAGGGCUUAAGCCUAAAUUCUCAUGUCAGUGGCUUGUUGUGUAGCUGUCCAAAACCAGAAUUACAAACUAUGUUUUGCUGUUCCCAUGUCCAAAGCUGAAUGUCCCAUGAUUGGUAUAAAUAAAAUAGCCAAUAAUAAA
Dromaius novaehollandiae (emu) is the source of this 3028-nucleotide RNA transcript. It is a transcript of the gene named beta-1,3-N-acetylgalactosaminyltransferase 1 (Globoside blood group), with no coding region annotated. The transcript is spliced from 3 exons. Lineage: Eukaryota; Metazoa; Chordata; Aves; Casuariiformes; Dromaiidae. The record is from RefSeq and is a predicted model, not a curated record.